Gossypium hirsutum (cotton) is the source of this 145-nucleotide non-coding RNA. The record is from Rfam. NCBI's taxonomy places the organism in Eukaryota, Viridiplantae, Streptophyta, Magnoliopsida, Malvales, Malvaceae.
UGCUAAAACUUUUAUCAAUUUGUACUGUUAAAAAUUAACAUAAUUGAUGAAAUAAUCAAACAGUGGCAUAUGGCGUGCCACAUAUACCUCAUGCAGAUGUGCAAAGAACAAAUUUUAAUAGUAAAAAUGAAAGAAAAUUUUAAUA